GCAGAACGCGAAGAACCUUACCAGGCCUUGACAUGCAGAGAACUUUCCAGAGAUGGAUUGGUGCCUUCGGGAACGUCUGACACAGGUGCUGCAUGGCUGUCGUCAGCUCGUGUCGUGAGAUGUUGGGUUAAGUACCCGUAACGAGCGCAACCCUUCGUCCUUAGUUACCAGCACGUUAUGGUGGGCACUCUAAGGAGACUGCCGGUCGACAAACCGGAAGGAAGGUGGGGAGUGACGUCAAGUCAUCAUGGCCCUUACGGCCUGGGCUACACACGUGCUACAAUGGUCGGUACAGAGGGUUGCCAAGCCGCGAGGUGAAGCUAAUCUCACAAAACCGAUCGUAGUCCGGAUCGCAGUCUGCAACUCGACUGCGUGAAGUCGGAAUCGCUAGUAAUCGCGAAUCAGAAUGUCGCGGUGAAUACGUUCCCGGGUCUUGUACACACCG
Molecule: ribosomal RNA, 445 nt
Filed under: uncultured bacterium
Lineage: Bacteria
Description: bacterial SSU rRNA
Rfam family: Bacterial small subunit ribosomal RNA
Source: RNAcentral